RNAcentral lists this ribosomal RNA (502 nucleotides) under uncultured bacterium. RNAcentral describes it as "bacterial SSU rRNA". It matches the Rfam family "Bacterial small subunit ribosomal RNA", at positions 30 to 504 of the family's 1533-position model. The record is from RNAcentral.
CGAACGCUGGCGGCGUGCUUAAUACAUGCAAGUCGAACGAGGAAUAGAGAGCUUGCUCUCUAUAGCCGAGUGGCGAACGGGUGAGUAACACGUGACCAACCUGUCUUUAGGUGAGGGACAACCUGGGGAAACCCGGGCUAAUACCGCAUAAUGUCUUAUUUUCACAUGGGAACGAGACCAAAGGGGGCCUCUGCUUGCAUGCUCUCGCCUGAUGAGGGGGUCGCGUCGUAUCAGCUUGUUGGUGAGGUAACGGCUCACCAAGGCUAUGACGCGUAGCGGGUCUGAGAGGACGAUCCGUCACAUUGGGACUGAGAUACGGCCCAGACUCCUACGGGAGGCAGCAGUAGGGAAUAUUGCGCAAUGGUCGAAAGACUGACGCAGCGACGCCGCGUGUGGGAGGAAGCCUUUCGGGGUGUAAACCACUGUCAGGAGGGAAGAAUCCCGAGUGUUCGAAUAGGGCACUCGACUGACGGUACCUCCAGAGGAAGCGCCGGCUAACUCC